Molecule: ribosomal RNA, 497 nt
Filed under: uncultured bacterium
Lineage: Bacteria
Description: partial 16S ribosomal RNA
Rfam family: Bacterial small subunit ribosomal RNA
Source: RNAcentral
GGGGGGGGGGGGGGGGGGGGCGGGGGGGGGCGGGGCGGGGGAGGGGGCGGGACGGUUGCUUGUCUGAGGGUGGCGGCGGGCGGGUGAGUACCACGUGGAUGGCCUACCUAUAAUACGUGGAUGAGUUCGGGGAGCCGGAGCUGAUACAGGAGAAUCUUUUGAACGGCAUGGUUCAAAGGUGCAAGACGGUUUUGCGGGCACUUUGAGAUGGAUUCGGGCUGCAUGAGCGAGUUGGUAGGGUAACGGCUUACAAAGGCAACGAUGCAUAGCCGAGCUGUGAGGGUGAUCGGACAAACUGGAACUGAGACACGGUCAAGACUCCUACGGAAGACAGCCGUAGGGAAGCUUCCGCAAUGGGCGAAAGCUUGCAGGAGCAACGCCGCGUGAGUGAUGAAGGUCUUAGGAUCGUAAAACUCUGUUAUUAGGGAAGAACAUAUGUGUAAGUAAAUGUUCACAUCUUGACGGUACCUAACCAGAAAGCCACGGCUAACUACGUG